GACGAACGCUGGCGGCGUGCUUAACACAUGCAAGUCGAACGGAAAGGCCCUGCUUUUGUGGGGUGUUCGAGUGGCGAACGGGUGAGUAACACGUGAGUAACCUGCCCUUGACUUUGGGAUAACUUCAGGAAACUGGGGCUAAUACCGGAUAGGAGCUCCUGCUGCAUGGUGGGGGUUGGAAAGUUUCGGCGGUUGGGGAUGGACUCGCGGCUUAUCAGCUUGUUGGUGGGGUAGUGGCUUACCAAGGCUUUGCCGGGUAGCCGGCCUGAGAGGGUGACCGGCCACAUUGGGACUGAGAGACGGCCCAGACUCCUACGGGAGGCAGCAGUGGGGAAUAUUACACAGUGGGCGGAAGCCUGAUGCAGCAACGCCGCGUGCGGGAUGACGGCCUUCGGGUUAUAAACCGCUUUCGCCUGUGACGAAGCGUGAGUGACGGUAAUGGGUAAAGAAGCACCGGCUAACUACGUG
RNAcentral lists this ribosomal RNA (468 nucleotides) under uncultured bacterium. Its description in RNAcentral is "partial 16S ribosomal RNA". It matches the Rfam family "Bacterial small subunit ribosomal RNA", at positions 28 to 507 of the family's 1533-position model. The record is from RNAcentral.